Molecule: non-coding RNA, 26 nt
Filed under: Cricetulus griseus (Chinese hamster)
Lineage: Eukaryota; Metazoa; Chordata; Mammalia; Rodentia; Cricetidae
Source: RNAcentral
UGGAGUUGACGGGUGAAUAAUAAAAG